AUUGAACGCUGGCGGCAUGCCUAACACAUGCAAGUCGAACGGCAGCACGGCAGUAGCAAUACUGUGGGUGGCGAGUGGCGGACGGGUGAGGAAUACGUCGGAAUCUGCCCAGUCGUGGGGGAUAACUAGCCGAAAGGUUAGCUAAUACCGCAUACGACCGAGAGGUGAAAGCGGGGGACCGCAAGGCCUCGCGCGAUUGGAUGAGCCGACGUCGGAUUAGCUAGUUGGUGGGGUAAAGGCCCACCAAGGCGACGAUCCGUAGCUGGUCUGAGAGGAUGAUCAGCCACACUGGAACUGAGACACGGUCCAGACUCCUACGGGAGGCAGCGGUGGGGAAUAUUGGACAAUGGGCGCAAGCCUGAUCCAGCAAUGCCGCGUGUGUGAAGAAGGCC
RNAcentral lists this ribosomal RNA (392 nucleotides) under uncultured bacterium. RNAcentral's name for it is "bacterial SSU rRNA". It matches the Rfam family "Bacterial small subunit ribosomal RNA", at positions 29 to 416 of the family's 1533-position model. The record is from RNAcentral.